Molecule: long non-coding RNA, 2059 nt
Filed under: Sorghum bicolor (sorghum)
Lineage: Eukaryota; Viridiplantae; Streptophyta; Magnoliopsida; Poales; Poaceae
Description: long non-coding RNA (SBIC_LNC006246)
Source: RNAcentral
CUGGCGAUCGUCAGCCGUCCGAUGGAAGAUCCAAGGCCAGGAUUAGAAGAUACCUUUUCGCAGUGAAUCUUCAUAAAGAGUCCCUGGAAAGAUUCGCUAUUUACCCCGCGGUCCCUGGCGCCCUGGAAGAGAUUACGUUUUCUAAGUUUAAAAGCGUAUUCCUGUCUUGUUCAACUCAGUUUACGUUUUCAGAUAUUUACGUUUUUGCCACUGAUUUUGUUUUGCUCAUAAAAUAUUCAUUUUAACUCCGUUUUUGUCCAUUCAAAUUUCGUUAGAUUCGUAUUUACGAGCUAUAUAUGUUAGAAGUAUUAGUUUACUGUUUUGAAACUUUUUAUUUCCGCGGUAGCAUUUUAUUAAUUAUUUCUCUAUAGGAAAUCUUGGAAAAUGCAUAACUUCUCCGUUUCAAUUCCGAUUUUCGUGAACUUUACGUUUGUGUGAUCGUAGCGCUGCGUAGAAUAUUUUCAUAAACUUUUAUAUUUCUUUUACCCCUGAUUGGUGAAAUGUUCUAAUUAUAGCAUGUUUGCUUCGUGUAUGAUUGUCUACAUUGGAUUGCGUGCUGUUGAUUGAUGAUCGAGUAUAGACGGUGAGCCGUGCGUUGGUGAUCAAGACCAAGCCUUUGAAGACCAGCAGGCUCAGGAGAGCUUUGAUCAAGGCAAGUAUAACUUGGGAUCAUCCUUGUUACCUAUUCACUUAUAACUACACAUAUAUAUCAUAUGCAUGCUAUCACCUGGUCGACCUUCGCAAAAUCAUAAAUGAUUGUUACCUGGAUUCCUUGCUACUUACUUGAUAUGCAUUUGGUGUAGAUGUGCUAGUGCUUGAUAUAAUCCAUGAUCUUGUAAGAUGAUUAAUAGCUAUGCAAUGAACGCAAAAAGAUGACAAAUAACUAUAUGAGAUCUUGUCUGUAAGUGAUCACCGGGAUAACAGUGCAACCAUGAGGGCUAUAAUGGCUCUAGCUUUAGCUCAGUAUGAAGACCUUUUCUAGCUUGUUAGAGGUUACCCGAAAGGGUGGAGGGGCUGAACUGACACGGGUAUAGUGCGAGCCCCUGUCCCUAUGUGUAUAGGCUGCGUGUCAUUGUGCCAUUCGGAAGGGGGGUAUCUAUAUCUGCUCGCAAAGGAAACCUUGUGGCCCUAACAUGUUAGACAAACUUUUGAAAGGCUUCAUAGUGAUCCCCGCCGACAUCCCUAGGAAGGAGGUUAAGAGAUUAGCUAGCUCGGGCGAAAGGGUAAAUCAUGACUCAUGGGUAAAGAUGUACAACCUCUGCAGAGUGUUAAAACUGGUAUACUAGCCGUGCUCACGGUUAUGAGCGGCCUUGGGGGUUCUUGCUGCAACGACGAUGAGCUUGUUAAGUUGUUAUGUUCAUUUGAUUACCGUUUAUGCUAUGAGAUUAAUUAUGCUUACACUUGAUCAUGUGGUUAAUGGAUUAUUUAUGCUACCUUGACAUUUGCUAUUAAUUAUGAACAUGGUAUCCACUAUUAAAGCUGAAUGCAGUCAAACCAGUGUCAGCUAUUUGAGCCUCAUGAACCUUUUGUUAUACUUGUUGAGUACGAUAUGUGCUCACUUUUGCAAUUUUCCAACACCCCAGGUUAUGCUAAUGAUGAUGAUGAUUGGAAUGAGGACUAUCGCUAUGAGUAUUAGGUUUGGAGUCAACCAGUCAACAGUGUCCCUAUGUGGAGCUUCCGUCGAGAGCGUUGUUUACUUUAUGCUAUCAUCUUUGUAUGAGACUAUGUGAUUUAUUAUUGUCCCGCUAUAUAAUAAACACUGCAGUGGUGCAUUUGAGAUUUGUCUACUUAUGUGUGCGACUGUUUCUGGGGCACAUAUGAGUCUUUUAUGCAUCCUAUUUUGUUCUUAAAAUAUGGGUGUGACACCCUGUUAUUCCCCAUGAAAUAAAUGAUCGAGAUAUUUUGGUUACUAUCACUUGCUACAUUAUUCCAGGAGGGUGAGUGCUCUGAAAAAAGUGAAAACGAGGAAAUAAAAAGGGGCAAGUGCCCGGAACCUCGAAGAAAAGAAAAAGUGAGACGAGAGGUAAAAAUGGACAAGUGUCCGACAGUAGAAUUAGAG